RNAcentral lists this small RNA (117 nucleotides) under Pongo abelii (Sumatran orangutan). RNAcentral describes it as "Metazoan signal recognition particle RNA (ENSPPYG00000034170.1)". The record is from Rfam by way of RNAcentral. Lineage: Eukaryota; Metazoa; Chordata; Mammalia; Primates; Hominidae.
GCUGGGCAUGGUGGCUCAUGCCUGUAAUCCCAGCAUUUUGGGAGGCUGAGGCGGGUGGAUCACCUGAGGUCAGGGGUUCGAGGCCAGCCUGGCCAACAUGGUGAAACCCCGUCUCUA